GCGGGGGUACCCGAGCCAGGUCUAAAUAGAGCGGAAAAGGAGCCAGACCGCCUAGGACAAGGGGGAGGACUUAAGAUCCUCUGGCGUAGGCCUCCGCGGGUUCAAAUCCCGCCCCCCGCACCA
This 123-nucleotide transfer RNA is filed under the name Candidatus Bathyarchaeota archaeon. Its description in RNAcentral is "tRNA-Leu". The record is from RNAcentral. Lineage: Archaea; Thermoproteati; Candidatus Bathyarchaeota.